UUUUGACAUGUAAGACAGGACAGUUGGAAGCCCUUUCUAUAAAAAUUUACUGAGCUUAACUAAACCUCCUGGCUGGAAGCUCGAGGAAAUCAGUCACUAUGAAGCAUACUUCAUGCCAUGCCAUGCAAUAGCAGGAAUAUUUAAAAGGCUGGCCUCUUUUGUUCUGCUGCUGUGUGAGCAUAUCCAUGACCGAAUUUUGCAGAGAGGAAGAUAAGCAGAGUCCAGAAUUUCAGGGAUCCAUCCAGAAAACUUUCAUAGAAAGUCUCACCCUAUGUUUUCUUUGCCCAGAUUCAGAGCCUGUUAAAGUCAACAGGAGACCUUCCAAUGACUUCAGUGAAAAUUAGAAUAAAAUACAGACAUUAAGGUUAUUUCUGCAAAAGUCCUUCCUCACCUUCAAGCUAAUGUCAGUGGGCUCAUUUGUAAGCACACAAAGUUGUGUGAAGCGAGUCAAGAUCGCUGAAGAAACCUGACUGAUGCAGCACAUUUAUAAGCCUCCCAAACGCAGCCACAGGUAUGUGGGCAGCUGGAGUGAAACAUAUGACGGGUCUCCCUGGGGUUUUAUUACUGCCGUGUGGACGAGGUUUCUCCAGCCACCCAGACAUGUGCCAUCCACACCGCGGGAGGCAGCCAAGCCGUGCUAAAUGACCCCAGUAACACCGACCUUCAUUGCAGGGAUGAAAGAAAGAAUGAUUUCAAGAUAUAAAUAGCUUUACAAGCUGGUAAGUGCUAUAGGAGGUUAUCCAGUAAAACAUUUGGU
This 757-nucleotide long non-coding RNA is filed under the name Struthio camelus australis. RNAcentral's name for it is "lncRNA (ENSSCUG00000003585.1)". The record is from RNAcentral. Lineage: Eukaryota; Metazoa; Chordata; Aves; Struthioniformes; Struthionidae.